UACGUAGGGGGCUAGCGUUAUCCGGAAUUACUGGGCGUAAAGGGUGCGUAGGUGGUUUCUUAAGUCAGAGGUGAAAGGCUACGGCUCAACCGCAGUAAGCCUUUGAAACUGGGGAACUUGAGUGCAGGAGAGGAGAGUGGAAUUCCUAGUGUAGCGGUGAAAUGCGUAGAUAUUAGGAGGAACACCAGUUGCGAAGGCGGCUCUCUGGACUGUAACUGACACUGAGGCACGAAAGCGUGGGGAGCAAACAGG
This 252-nucleotide ribosomal RNA is filed under the name uncultured bacterium. RNAcentral's name for it is "partial 16S ribosomal RNA". It matches the Rfam family "Bacterial small subunit ribosomal RNA", at positions 524 to 776 of the family's 1533-position model. The record is from RNAcentral.